AUGCCUUGUCAAGCUCUUUUGUGGCAGAUGUUGGCAUUUUCUCCUCAUUUCUCCUAUUUUAAUUAUCUAUCUUCUAUUCUUCAUUCCGGAGGCAUUGCGAUGUUGUUCUUUUCACCCAUCAUCUCGUUUUGUCAAAGAUCAUGUUCUUUUCAUGCCUAUCCAUUUAACUGGAGUGUUGUGCCCUUUUUGCUCAAGUUCUUUUCGCCUUAUCAAGUCUUGCAUCCCUUCUCAACCGGAGUGCUGCCCGAAUUUGUUCUUCCUUGUUCUUUUUCCAAACGGGGUGAUUUCAACUUUGCUCAUUCUCGUUGCAUUCUUUCUUUCAAUUUGUUCAACCUCUCAAGGCUCGUGGUUUCACUCGUUUGUCAAAGAAACAACUUAGUUUUACCUCUUCUCUUUCUCUUCCGUUUUCCCUCCGGUGCCAUUCUAGAUCUCGGGACGAGAUCCUCUCGUAGUGGUGGAGUGUUGUAA
RNAcentral lists this ribosomal RNA (468 nucleotides) under Triticum aestivum (bread wheat). Its description in RNAcentral is "partial small subunit ribosomal RNA". The record is from RNAcentral. Lineage: Eukaryota; Viridiplantae; Streptophyta; Magnoliopsida; Poales; Poaceae.